RNAcentral lists this ribosomal RNA (328 nucleotides) under uncultured bacterium. RNAcentral's name for it is "bacterial SSU rRNA". It matches the Rfam family "Bacterial small subunit ribosomal RNA", at positions 30 to 360 of the family's 1533-position model. The record is from RNAcentral.
UUGAACGCUGGCGGCAUGCCUUACACAUGCAAGUCGAACGGCAGCGCGGGGCAACCUGGCGGCGAGUGGCGAACGGGUGAGUAAUAUAUCGGAACGUGCCAUAGAGUGGGGGAGUAACUAGUCGAAAGACUAGCUAAUACCGCAUACGAUCUAAGGAUGAAAGUAGGGGGAGUCGCAAGACCUCACGCUCUUUGAGCGGCCGAUAUCUGAUUAGCUAGNGGUAGGGUAAAGCCUACCAAGGCGACGAUCAGUAGCUGGUCUGAGAGGAUGAUCAGCCACACUGGAACUGAAACACGGUCCAGACUCCUACGGGAGGCAGCAGUGGGAA